This 475-nucleotide ribosomal RNA is filed under the name uncultured bacterium. Its description in RNAcentral is "bacterial SSU rRNA". It matches the Rfam family "Bacterial small subunit ribosomal RNA", at positions 8 to 526 of the family's 1533-position model. The record is from RNAcentral.
AGAGUUUGAUCAUGGCUCAGAUUGAACGCUGGCGGCAGGCUUAACACAUGCAAGUCGAGCGGGGAAAGGUAGCUUGCUACCUUACCUAGCGGCGGACGGGUGAGUAAUGCUUAGGAAUCUGCCUAUUAGUGGGGGACAACAUUUCGAAAGGAAUGCUAAUACCGCAUACGCCCUACGGGGGAAAGCAGGGGACCUUCGGGCCUUGCGCUAAUAGAUGAGCCUAAGUCGGAUUAGCUAGUUGGUGGGGUAAAGGCCUACCAAGGCGACGAUCUGUAGCGGGUCUGAGAGGAUGAUCCGCCACACUGGGACUGAGACACGGCCCAGACUCCUACGGAUGCCGCGUGUGUGAAGAAGGCCUUUUGGUUGUAAAGCACUUUAAGCGAGGAGGAGGCUACCGAGAUUAAUACUCUUGGAUAGUGGACGUUACUCGCAGAAUAAGCACCGGCUAACUCUGUGCCAGCAGCCGCGGUAAUAC